Non-coding RNA from Pelobates cultripes (western spadefoot toad), 110 nucleotides. The record is from the annotation of a GenBank genome assembly. Lineage: Eukaryota; Metazoa; Chordata; Amphibia; Anura; Pelobatidae.
UGUGUAUUUAGCAGUCUGUGUGUGUGUGUGUAUUUAGCAGACUGUGUACUCAGCAGUCUGUGUGUAUUCAGCAGUCUGCUAAAUACCCAUACAGACAGACUGCCGAGCAC